Molecule: ribosomal RNA, 582 nt
Filed under: Bacillus sp. (in: firmicutes)
Lineage: Bacteria; Bacillati; Bacillota; Bacilli; Caryophanales; Bacillaceae
Description: bacterial SSU rRNA
Rfam family: Bacterial small subunit ribosomal RNA
Source: RNAcentral
CAGUAGGGAUCUUCCGCAUGGACGAAAGUCUGACGGAGCAACGCCGCGUGAGUGAUGAAGGUUUUCGGAUCGUAAAACUCUGUUGUUAGGGAAGAACAAGUACCGUUCGAAUAGGGCGGUACCUUGACGGUACCUAACCAGAAAGCCACGGCUAACUACGUGCCAGCAGCCGCGGUAAUACGUAGGUGGCAAGCGUUGUCCGGAAUUAUUGGGCGUAAAGCGCGCGCAGGCGGUUUCUUAAGUCUGAUGUGAAAGCCCCCGGCUCAACCGGGGAGGGUCAUUGGAAACUGGGGAACUUGAGUGCAGAAGAGGAGAGUGGAAUUCCACGUGUAGCGGUGAAAUGCGUAGAGAUGUGGAGGAACACCAGUGGCGAAGGCGACUCUCUGGUCUGUAACUGACGCUGAGGCGCGAAAGCGUGGGGAGCGAACAGGAUUAGAUACCCUGGUAGUCCACGCCGUAAACGAUGAGUGCUAAGUGUUAGAGGGUUUCCGCCCUUUAGUGCUGCAGCAAACGCAUUAAGCACUCCGCCUGGGGAGUACGGUCGCAAGACUGAAACUCAAAGGAAUUGACGGGGCCCGCGCC